RNAcentral lists this ribosomal RNA (472 nucleotides) under uncultured bacterium. RNAcentral describes it as "partial 16S ribosomal RNA". It matches the Rfam family "Bacterial small subunit ribosomal RNA", at positions 28 to 507 of the family's 1533-position model. The record is from RNAcentral.
GACGAACGCUGGCGGCGUGCUUAACACAUGCAAGUCGAACGAUGAACCCGGAGCUUGCUCUGGGGGAUUAGUGGCGAACGGGUGAGUAACACGUGAGUAACCUGCCCUGGACUCUGGGAUAAGCGUUGGAAACGACGUCUAAUACCGGAUAGGACCUUGGAUCGCAUGAUCUGGGGUGGAAAGUUUUUUCGGUCUGGGAUGGACUCGCGGCCUAUCAGCUUGUUGGUGAGGUAAUGGCUCACCAAGGCGUCGACGGGUAGCCGGCCUGAGAGGGUGACCGGCCACACUGGGACUGAGACACGGCCCAGACUCCUACGGGAGGCAGCAGUAGGGAAUAUUGCACAAUGGGCGAAAGCCUGAUGCAGCAACGCCGCGUGCGGGAUGACGGCCGUCGGGUUGUAAACCGCUUUUAGUAGGGAAGAAGGGCUUCGGCUUGACGGUACCUGCAGAAAAAGGACCGGCUAACUACGUG